GCAAACUAGGGGAGAGAAUGGCAAAGAGGAAACCAAUUAAAAAGGUGUUUCUGAAGGCCAGAGGAGAGAUGGUGAGAAUCUCUGCAUUCAAGACACAUGAAGAAAGGAGAACGUGGUGCCGGGCAGGAUGUGCACGCACAGAGGGCGCCUACUUUGUCUCCGUGGUUCCCAGCUGGAGCCAAGAGCGCACCAGUUCCUCCAGCUGGACUGCAGAAAGCAGGAGGCCUAAGGUUGUGUGGCAGGUGAAGACUUGCACAGAAAGUAAAGGAAGCCAAAGUCAGGAUCCUGGAAAUGACCAACACUGAAGCGCUCAAGAAGCAUACAAGUCCAAAGUGUGACGCACCAGAAAGCUGAAAGUUCCUAUCCACAAUUGUCUAGAAGAGAAUUCUACUACCAAACUCGGCAUGUCCGAAACUGGAUAUACAUCUACCAUCCCAGAAGAGCAACUCCUCACAGAGGAGCAA
Molecule: long non-coding RNA, 464 nt
Organism: Ailuropoda melanoleuca (giant panda)
Lineage: Eukaryota; Metazoa; Chordata; Mammalia; Carnivora; Ursidae
Exons: 3
Source: RefSeq, a predicted model, not a curated record